CUAUAAUUAGUGAGGGAGCUAUACCUAGAAGCAAAGCCAUAAUUGAAACUGAGAAGUACCUAGAAUAGAUGUUUUUAUGAACUGCUGCUGCCUUUUCUUCUUGCAGCAAGAGAAAGCAAAUCUAAAUUGGAAUAAUAAGGAAUGCCUCUGGAGUCAUGUUGGAGAGUUCAUACAGUGUAUUGUCUUGCUGUGCUCACCUUGAAUGCUUAUUUUAAAAGACAAUUAGCCAACUGUAGCAACCAGAAGCCCCUGAAAGAAAUCUUGUUUGCAACCAGAGUGAGGGAAAAGAGAGGAGAGGAGAAGAAAAAGGAAAGGAAAAGUGCCAAUACCAGGUCCUUUUGUCAGCUCCUCAGGCAUCCCUGCCCUGGAACAGUGCUUUAAGACUAUGAUCCACUCACAAUUGGAUAUUUCUCCAUAAAUUCUGCCUCACACCUUCUGCCAUUGUUGUGGGAGAGCCAAAUCCAGUCUUCACCAGAGUAAGUGGCACUCUGAGCCUCAACUCCACUCAAGCUAGACGCGGAAGCCUCAUCAGGUCAUCGCUGUGACCCUAAGUUAUAAAAGGCUAUGAUCAGAGUGAAAAUUUUGCUGCAAGGAGUGAUAGAUUUUUCUACUGUAUUGGCAUCUUCUGAUAGCUCCACUGCUAAGCUGGAAAGAGGUCAGGGAUAUUGUAUGCAAAGGAGACAAAUGGAAUGUUGUAUGGAGUGAAUUGAGAAGAGAAUUGUUGACUGGAAAAAUAACAAAAGUCUCCAAACUAUUCCUUCUUCUCUUGUUAUGGGGUUUGGAUGUGUACCCCUGGGGUUCAGGAAGGAUACCUUUUGCAAGAAUGUAAGACUCCAAAACUUAGCUUAAAAACAAGAGAAAUUUAUCAAUUUAGGAAGUAAUGUUGAGAAUGGCCAGGAGGAUAACAAGAUGGGAC
This 916-nucleotide long non-coding RNA is filed under the name Monodelphis domestica (gray short-tailed opossum). Its description in RNAcentral is "lncRNA (ENSMODG00000033514.2)". Lineage: Eukaryota; Metazoa; Chordata; Mammalia; Didelphimorphia; Didelphidae. The record is from RNAcentral.